CGUUCUCUCAUCCCAAGGUUUUACUGGACUCUUUUUGGACUGUUCUUUUUAUAUAUAUAUAUAGAGCAGUCCAAAAAGAGUCCAGUAAAACCUUGGGAUGAGAUAUAUA
This 109-nucleotide microRNA precursor is filed under the name Pelobates cultripes (western spadefoot toad). Lineage: Eukaryota; Metazoa; Chordata; Amphibia; Anura; Pelobatidae. The record is from RNAcentral.